GCUUAUCCAGAGGGGUGGAGGGAACGGCCCAAUGAAUCCCCAGCAACCGACCGUCGUCGGCACGGUGCUAAUUCCGGAAGCGUACUGCUUCGAAGAUGAGG
This 101-nucleotide non-coding RNA is filed under the name uncultured Sporolactobacillus sp. Its description in RNAcentral is "SAM riboswitch (S box leader)". It matches the Rfam family "SAM riboswitch aptamer (S box leader)". Rfam says of the family: The SAM riboswitch is found upstream of a number of genes which code for proteins involved in methionine or cysteine biosynthesis in Gram-positive bacteria. The SAM riboswitch acts at the level of transcription termination control. Lineage: Bacteria; Bacillati; Bacillota; Bacilli; Caryophanales; Sporolactobacillaceae. The record is from RNAcentral.